Long non-coding RNA from Ornithodoros turicata, 526 nucleotides. RefSeq lists it as uncharacterized. The transcript is spliced from 3 exons. NCBI's taxonomy places the organism in Eukaryota, Metazoa, Arthropoda, Arachnida, Ixodida, Argasidae. The record is from RefSeq and is a predicted model, not a curated record.
CGCAGCAACACUGGACCGCCUGUCAGUGAACAACAUCGACGACCGGGUUGUUGGAAACUCGUGUACGUACUUCACCACUCCACUCCACUUGUCAUCGUAACAUCCCGUUGAAUGAAGUAUGUUCAGCUGCAGGCAGUGUGGAACAUCAUUUUCUUCGCGGGCGAGUUACUUUCUGAGGAGAAGGCCUCGCAGCUUCAUGCGUGCUUGUGGGACUUUGGUGUUCGCAGCCCAUCUAACGUAACGUACGUCAAGGAGAGCGAGCUGUCAAGUGUGCUGAACCCUAUUCAAUGCAGAAAGCACUGCACCUUUGGAAUAGGGUUGAGGACCCCGUGCAGUUGAGCGUGCCUGGAACCUCUGCAUCUGCACCUCAGUGUGUGAAAGUUGACUCGAGUGCAGCACCAAAGUCUCUCUCCCCGGACUGGUCAUCUGCUUUUGUGAUACCCUUUCAACGAGCAAACGCAGAUUUUCUGCAAGAUUUGCAGGAGAAAAGCGACCAAAGAAGAAACUUGCUUAUUUGAUCUCGCCC